RNAcentral lists this ribosomal RNA (1522 nucleotides) under Salmonella enterica. Its description in RNAcentral is "partial 23S ribosomal RNA". It matches the Rfam family "Bacterial large subunit ribosomal RNA", at positions 711 to 2213 of the family's 2925-position model. The record is from RNAcentral. Lineage: Bacteria; Pseudomonadati; Pseudomonadota; Gammaproteobacteria; Enterobacterales; Enterobacteriaceae.
AGACCCGAAACCCGGUGAUCUAGCCAUGGGCAGGUUGAAGGUUGGGUAACACUAACUGGAGGACCGAACCGACUAAUGUUGAAAAAUUAGCGGAUGACCUGUGGCUGGGGGUGAAAGGCCAAUCAAACCGGGAGAUAGCUGGUUCUCCCCGAAAGCUAUUUAGGUAGCGCCUCGUGAAUUCAUCUCCGGGGGUAGAGCACUGUUUCGGCCAGGGGGCCAUCCCGGCUUACCAAUCCGAUGCAAACUGCGAAUACCGGAGAAUGUUAUCACGGGAGACACACGGCGGGUGCUAACGUCCGUCGUGAAGAGGGAAACAACCCAGACCGCCAGCUAAGGUCCCAAAGUCAUGGUUAAGUGGGAAACGAUGUGGGAAGGCCCAGACAGCCAGGAUGUUGGCUUAGAAGCAGCCAUCAUUUAAAGAAAGCGUAAUAGCUCACUGGUCGAGUCGGCCUGCGCGGAAGAUGUAACGGGGCUAAACCAUGCACCGAAGCUGCGGCAGCGACACUGAUGUGUUGUUGGGUAGGGGAGCGUUCUGUAAGCCGUUGAAGGUGGCCUGUGAGGGUUGCUGGAGGUAUCAGAAGUGCGAAUGCUGACAUAAGUAACGAUAAAGCGGGUGAAAAGCCCGCUCGCCGGAAGACCAAGGGUUCCUGUCCAACGUUAAUCGGGGCAGGGUGAGUCGACCCCUAAGGCGAGGCCGAAAGGCGUAGUCGAUGGGAAACGGGUUAAUAUUCCCGUACUUGGUGUUACUGCGAAGGGGGGACGGAGAAGGCUAUGUUGGCCGGGCGACGGUUGUCCCGGUUUAAGCGUGUAGGUGUGUGUUCCAGGUAAAUCCGGUUCACUUUAACACUGAGGCGUGACGACGAGGCACCACGGUGCUGAAGCAACAAAUGCCCUGCUUCCAGGAAAAGCCUCUAAGCCUCAGGUAACAUCAAAUCGUACCCCAAACCGACACAGGUGGUCAGGUAGAGAAUACCAAGGCGCUUGAGAGAACUCGGGUGAAGGAACUAGGCAAAAUGGUGCCGUAACUUCGGGAGAAGGCACGCUGACACGUAGGUGAAGUGGUUUACCCAUGGAGCUGAAGUCAGUCGAAGAUACCAGCUGGCUGCAACUGUUUAUUAAAAACACAGCACUGUGCAAACACGAAAGUGGACGUAUACGGUGUGACGCCUGCCCGGUGCCGGAAGGUUAAUUGAUGGGGUCAGCGCAAGCGAAGCUCCUGAUCGAAGCCCCGGUAAACGGCGGCCGUAACUAUAACGGUCCUAAGGUAGCGAAAUUCCUUGUCGGGUAAGUUCCGACCUGCACGAAUGGCGUAAUGAUGGCCAGGCUGUCUCCACCCGGGACUCAGUGAAAUUGAACUCGCUGUGAAGAUGCAGUGUACCCGCGGCAAGACGGAAAGACCCCGUGAACCUUUACUAUAGCUUGACACUGAACACUGGUCCUUGAUGUGCAGGAUAGGUGGGAGGCUUUGAAGUGUGGACGCCAGUCUGCAUGGAGCCAUCCUUGAAAUACCACCCUUUAAUGG